ACGGGUGAGUAAUGUCUGGGAAACUGCCCGAUGGAGGGGGAUAACUACUGGAAACGGUAGCUAAUACCGCAUAACGUCUUCGGACCAAAGUGGGGGACCUUCGGGCCUCACACCAUCGGAUGUGCCCAGAUGGGAUUAGCUAGUAGGUGGGGUAACGGCUCACCUAGGCGACGAUCCCUAGCUGGUCUGAGAGGAUGACCAGCCACACUGGAACUGAGACACGGUCCAGACUCCUACGGGAGGCAGCAGUGGGGAAUAUUGCACAAUGGGCGCAAGCCUGAUGCAGCCAUGCCGCGUGUAUGAAGAAGGCCUUCGGGUUGUAAAGUACUUUCAGCGGGGAGGAAGGCGAUGCGGUUAAUAACCGCGUCGAUUGACGUUACCCGCAGAAGAAGCACCGGCUAACUCCGUGCCAGCAGCCGCGGUAAUACGGAGGGUGCAAGCGUUAAUCGGAAUUACUGGGCGUAAAGCGCACGCAGGCGGUCUGUCAAGUCGGAUGUGAAAUCCCCGGGCUUAACCUGGGAACUGCAUUCGAAACUGGCAGGCUUGAGUCUCGUAGAGGGGGGUAGAAUUCCAGGU
This 576-nucleotide ribosomal RNA is filed under the name uncultured bacterium. Its description in RNAcentral is "bacterial SSU rRNA". It matches the Rfam family "Bacterial small subunit ribosomal RNA", at positions 102 to 674 of the family's 1533-position model. The record is from RNAcentral.